This 140-nucleotide ribosomal RNA is filed under the name uncultured Syntrophaceae bacterium. RNAcentral describes it as "partial 16S ribosomal RNA". It matches the Rfam family "Bacterial small subunit ribosomal RNA", at positions 1244 to 1382 of the family's 1533-position model. The record is from RNAcentral. Lineage: Bacteria; Pseudomonadati; Thermodesulfobacteriota; Syntrophia; Syntrophales; Syntrophaceae.
GAGAAGCAACCUCGCGAGGGUGAGACAAAUCUACAAAAGCCGUUCUCAGUUCGGAUUGAAGUCUGCAACUCGACUUCAUGAAGUCGGAAUCGCUAGUAAUCGCGGAUCAGCAUGCCGCGGUGAAUACGUUCCCGGGCCUU